This 307-nucleotide ribosomal RNA is filed under the name uncultured bacterium. RNAcentral describes it as "bacterial SSU rRNA". It matches the Rfam family "Bacterial small subunit ribosomal RNA", at positions 28 to 334 of the family's 1533-position model. The record is from RNAcentral.
GACGAACGCUGGCGGCGUGCCUAACACAUGCAAGUCGAACGGGAGCAAGUGCUUCGGUAUUUGCUUUAGUGGCGAACGGGUGAGUAACGCGUGAAUAACCUGCCUUAUACAGGGGGAUAACAGUUAGAAAUGACUGCUAAUACCGCAUAAGCGCACAGGACCGCAUGGUCUGGUGUGAAAAACUCCGGUGGUAUAAGAUGGACCCGCGUCUGAUUAGCUAGUUGGUGGGGUAACGGCCCACCAAGGCGACGAUCAGUAGCCGGCCUGAGAGGGUGAACGGCCACAUUGGGACUGAGACACGGCCCAG